GACCGAUAGUGAACCAGUACCGUGAGGGAAAGGUGAAAAGCACCCCGGAAGGGGAGUGAAACAGUUCCUGAAACCGUGUGCCUACAAGUAGUUAGAGCCCGUUAAUGGGUGAUAGCGUGCCUUUUGUAGAAUGAACCGGCGAGUUACGAUUUGUUGCAAGGUUAAGCGGAAAAGCGGAGCCGUAGCGAAAGCGAGUCUGAAUAGGGCGCAUAAGUAACAGGUCGUAGACC
This 230-nucleotide ribosomal RNA is filed under the name Salmonella enterica subsp. enterica serovar Typhimurium. Its description in RNAcentral is "partial 23S ribosomal RNA". It matches the Rfam family "Bacterial large subunit ribosomal RNA", at positions 482 to 715 of the family's 2925-position model. The record is from RNAcentral. Lineage: Bacteria; Pseudomonadati; Pseudomonadota; Gammaproteobacteria; Enterobacterales; Enterobacteriaceae.